UUCUCUCUAGCGAGACAGCCUCCCGCAAGGANGANGAAGGUGGGGACGACGUCAAGUCAUCAUGNCCCUUAUGUCCAGGGNUACACACACGCUACAAUGGCCGGUACAAUGGGUUGCCAAAUCGUGAGAUGGAACCAAUCCCANGAAAGCCGGCCCCACUUGGAAUUGCAUGCUGAAACCCGCCUGCAUGAACUCGNAAUCGUUAAUAACCGCANGUCAGCAUACUGCGAUGAAUACGUUCCCGGGCCUUGCACACA
RNAcentral lists this ribosomal RNA (257 nucleotides) under uncultured bacterium. Its description in RNAcentral is "partial 16S ribosomal RNA". It matches the Rfam family "Bacterial small subunit ribosomal RNA", at positions 1134 to 1389 of the family's 1533-position model. The record is from RNAcentral.